GACGAACGCUGGCGGCGUGCUUAACACAUGCAAGUCGAACGGAAAGGCCCUGCUUUUGUGGGGUGCUCGAGUGGCGAACGGGUGAGGAACACGUGAGUAACCUGCCCUUGACUUUGGGAUAACUUCAGGAAACUGGGGCUAAUACCGGAUAGGAUCUCCUGCUGCAUGGUGGGGGUUGGAAAGUUUCGGCGGUUGGGGAUGGACUGGCGGCUUAUGAGCUUGUUGGUGGGGUAGUGGCUUACCAAGGCUGUGACGGGUAGCCGGCCUGAGAGGGUGACCGGCCACAAUGGGACUGAGAGACGGCGCAGUCGCCUACGGGAGGCAGCAGUCGGGAGUAUUGCACAAUGAGCGCACGCGUGAUGCGGCAGCGCUGCGUGCGGAAUGACGGCCUUCGGGUUGUGAACCGCUUUCGCCUGUGACGAAGCGUGAGUGACGGUACUGGAUAAAGAAGCACCGGCUAACUACGUG
RNAcentral lists this ribosomal RNA (468 nucleotides) under uncultured bacterium. RNAcentral's name for it is "partial 16S ribosomal RNA". It matches the Rfam family "Bacterial small subunit ribosomal RNA", at positions 28 to 507 of the family's 1533-position model. The record is from RNAcentral.